GCUAUGUCGUAAACGAAUCACAACCGUCCAUCCUUUCCUUCGGCUAUUCACAACUGUUAAUCCUCCCGCGACGUUGGAAUUCAACUCAUCCCUCCAAACGCUGCGCGUGCAACCCACGCACCACCACCUAGAACAAUUACUCUCUUCCUUCUACAACUAUCCUACGCAUCAUACCUCACAAACCUAUGCUACCCUCUUCCACGCCUGCGCCCUCCUUCACCGCCUUGAUAUUGGCCAAGACAUCCACAACCACAUUACUCUCUUCCUUCUACAACUAUCCUACACAUCAUUCCUCACAAACCUAUGCUACCCUCUUCCACGCCUGCGCCCUCCUUCACCGCCUUGAUAUUGGCCAAGACAUC
This 362-nucleotide long non-coding RNA is filed under the name Nicotiana benthamiana. RNAcentral's name for it is "long non-coding RNA (NBEN_LNC005352)". Lineage: Eukaryota; Viridiplantae; Streptophyta; Magnoliopsida; Solanales; Solanaceae. The record is from RNAcentral.